Molecule: RNA transcript, 3523 nt
Organism: Lagenorhynchus albirostris (white-beaked dolphin)
Lineage: Eukaryota; Metazoa; Chordata; Mammalia; Artiodactyla; Delphinidae
Gene: HSPH1
Gene name: heat shock protein family H (Hsp110) member 1
Exons: 19
Source: RefSeq, a predicted model, not a curated record
UCCAGGCAGGCAGCCCGAACUGCGGAACGACUUGCGGUGACCGAGCGCAGCUUUCUCCCGUGGUUACUCCUCUGUGAGCCGCCACUGUCCCCGGCAAUCCGGCGGUGCCAGACCGGCAGAUCGUCCGUGUGUCCGUCCGCGUGACAGGACCGGACCCCGCGGGAGCCGCGCGCAGCCGGGGCAGGAAGCGGCGGCCGGAGGACACAGACCAACCCGAAGCGGAGGCGGACCGAGAGCCGGCCAUGUCGGUGGUGGGGCUGGACGUGGGCUCGCAGAGCUGCUACAUCGCGGUGGCCCGGGCCGGGGGCAUCGAGACCAUCGCCAACGAGUUCAGCGACCGGUGCACCCCAUCAGUCAUAUCAUUUGGAUCAAAAAACAGAACAAUUGGAGUUGCAGCCAAAAAUCAGCAAAUCACUCAUGCAAACAAUACAGUGUCUAAUUUCAAGAGGUUUCAUGGCCGAGCAUUCAAUGACCCCUUCAUUCAAAAGGAGAAGGAAAACUUAAGUUAUGAUCUGGUUCCAAUGAAAAAUGGUGGAGUUGGAAUAAAGGUAAUGUACAUGGAUGAGGAACAUCUGUUUAGUGUGGAACAGAUAACAGCCAUGCUGUUGACUAAGUUAAAGGAAACUGCUGAAAACAACCUCAAGAAGCCAGUAACAGAUUGUGUUAUUUCAGUCCCUUCUUUCUUCACAGAUGCUGAGAGGCGAUCUGUCUUAGAUGCUGCACAAAUUGUUGGCUUAAACUGCUUGAGACUCAUGAAUGACAUGACAGCUGUUGCUUUGAAUUAUGGAAUUUAUAAGCAGGAUCUCCCAGGCCUGGAUGAGAAACCUCGAGUAGUGGUUUUUGUUGAUAUGGGACAUUCAGCUUUUCAAGUGUCUGCCUGUGCCUUUAACAAGGGAAAAUUGAAGGUACUGGGAACAGCUUUUGAUCCUUUCUUAGGAGGAAAAAACUUUGAUGCAAAGUUAGUGGAACAUUUUUGUGCAGAAUUUAAAACUAAGUACAAGUUGGACGCAAAAUCCAAAAUUCGAGCACUCCUUCGUCUGUAUCAGGAGUGUGAAAAAUUGAAAAAGCUGAUGAGCUCUAACAGCACGGACCUACCACUGAAUAUCGAGUGCUUUAUGAAUGACAAAGAUGUUUCGGGAAAGAUGAACAGGGCACAGUUUGAAGAACUCUGUGCUGAGCUCCUGCAAAAGAUAGAAGUUCCCCUUUAUUCAUUGCUGGAACAAACUCAGCUCAAAGUAGAAGAUGUGAGUGCUGUGGAGGUAGUUGGAGGCACUACACGAAUCCCAGCCGUGAAAGAAAAAAUUGCCAAAUUCUUUGGAAAAGAUACGAGCACGACGCUCAACGCAGAUGAAGCAGUGGCCAGAGGGUGUGCACUACAGUGUGCAAUCCUUUCCCCAGCAUUUAAAGUUAGAGAAUUUUCCGUCACUGAUGCAGUUCCUUUUCCAAUAUCUCUGGUCUGGAGUCACGAUUCAGAAGAUGCCGAAGGCGUCCAUGAAGUGUUCAGUAGAAACCAUGCUGCUCCUUUCUCCAAAGUGCUCACCUUCUUGAGAAGUGGGCCUUUUGAGCUGGAAGCUUUCUACUCUGAUCCUCAAGGAGUUCCAUAUCCAGAAGCAAAAAUAGGCCGCUUCGUAGUUCAGAAUGUUUCGGCACAGAAGGAUGGAGAAAAAUCUAGAGUGAAAGUCAAAGUGCGAGUCAAUACGCACGGCAUUUUCACCAUAUCUACAGCGUCUAUGGUGGAGAAAAUCCCAGCUGAGGAGAACGAAGUGUCUUCUGUCGAAGCAGACAUGGAGUGUCAGAAUCAGAGGCCAUCAGAAAACCCAGACGCCGAGAAAAAUAUCCAGCAAGACAACAAUGAAGCUGGAACACAGCCCCAGGUACAAACUGGUGGUCGUCAAACCUCACAGUCUCCCCCUUCACCUGAACUUCCCUCAGAAGAAAACAAAACCCCAGAUGCUGACAAAGCUAAUGAAAAGAAAGUUGACCAGCCUCCAGAAGCUAAAAAACCCAAAAUAAAGGUAGUGAAUGUUGAGCUGCCAGUUGAAGCCAACUUGGUCUGGCAGUUAGGGAAGGACCUUCUUAACAUGUACAUAGAAACAGAGGGUAAGAUGAUAAUGCAGGAUAAAUUGGAGAAAGAGAGAAAUGAUGCUAAAAACGCAGUGGAGGAAUAUGUGUACGAGUUCAGGGACAAGCUGUGUGGACCAUAUGAAAAAUUUAUAUGUGAGCAGGAUCAUCAAAAUUUUCUGAGGCUGCUCACAGAGACUGAGAACUGGCUCUAUGAAGAAGGAGAGGACCAGGCUAAGCAGACGUAUGUCGACAAGUUGGAGGAAUUAAUGAAAAUUGGCACUCCAAUUAAAGUCCGGUUUCAAGAAGCUGAAGAACGGCCCAAAGUAUUUGAAGAACUAGGACAGAGGCUGCAGCACUACGCCAAGAUAGCAGCUGACUUCAGGAGCAACGAUGAGAAAUAUAACCAUAUUGAUGAGUCUGAAAUGAAAAAGGUGGAGAAGUCUGUUAAUGAAGUGAUGGAGUGGAUGAAUAACAUCAUGAACGCUCAGGCCAAAAAGAGUCUCGAUCAGGAUCCCGUCGUGCGUGCUCAGGAAAUUAGAGCAAAAAUAAAGGAGUUGAAUAACACUUGUGAACCUGUUGUAACACAACCCAAACCAAAAAUUGAAUCACCCAAACUGGAAAGAACUCCAAAUGGCCCGAGUACUGAUAAAAAGGAAGAGGACUUAGAAGGCAAAAACAAUUUCAGUGCUGAACCUCCACAUCAGAAUGGAGAAUGUUACCCUAACGAGAAGAGUUCCAUCAAUAUGGACUUGGACUAGGUGACAUUAAACUGACUUAGUGCUUCAAUUAAUAAAAUAUUUUUGCCAUGGUAUGUGAUUCUACAUGACAUACUGAGACUAUUUAUAUUUUCUUUUUUAAGGAUGUUUAGAAAUUUUGUGUAUUAUAUGGAAAAAGAAAAAGCUUAAGUCUGUAGUCUUUAUGAUCCUAAAAGGGAAAAUUGCCUUGGUAACUUCAGAUUCCUGUGGAAUUGUGAAUUCAUACUAAGCUUCUGUGCAGUAUUACCAUUUGCAUCACUGAGGAUGAAACUGACUUUUGUCUUUGGAGAAAAUAAAGUGUAUUCAAGAGGGCUGUGGUUAAACUCUUCAAGCAUUGCUCCGCCAAGAUGGCAGAAUGAGGCGAAAGACCAUCUGACCAAGUUAAAAGGUUAAUCAGAACUUCGAUCUGACUCCGAAGCCCGUGUUCUCCCCGUGGUAGUAAAGUGACCACAGCACGCACUUAGCCAGGCGUAGAAGUUGGUCAGCACUGUCGAAACACUUUCAUCCUCACUGAGAACUCGUAAUGGGAGGACUCAAAAUCUGUUCUCUGAAAUUCUCCAUAAAGUUCAAUCAUGGUAGGAUUUGCGGUGUUUUCACCAGGCUGUAUCCAGUUUUCUAACCCCAUGCUUAUACGAAACACCAAAGCUUUUCUUUACCAAAUACAGAUUCUUAAUCCAGUGUUUUCAAACUUGGUCAUGACCACA